RNAcentral lists this long non-coding RNA (1015 nucleotides) under Gadus morhua (Atlantic cod). Its description in RNAcentral is "lncRNA (ENSGMOG00000034749.1)". The record is from RNAcentral. Lineage: Eukaryota; Metazoa; Chordata; Actinopteri; Gadiformes; Gadidae.
AUGCCAUCAUCAUCAUCAUCAUCAUCAUCAUCAUCAUCAUCAUCAUCAUCAUCCUCAUCCUCAGAGAGAGACAUUUCCUCUUCACCACCCAUACCCAUUAUCUGCUGUCGGAUAAAGUCUUCAUCCUCUGCAGAUGAUUCAGCACUUUCCGUUUUAAUAUCCUCACUGCUUGACGAAAUGGAGGUAAUCUUAAGCCUUCUCCUCUGGACUCGAGGUGAAGGGGAAGGUGAAAACUCACUUGCACUGCUCUCCUCCAUUGGUUGGAAACUAAGGCGUCUCCUCUCUUUAACUGCCUCAUUUAUUUGCAGAGAUGAAUCGUUGAUUGCAUCUUCAACAGGAAUAUCGACUAUUUCCCUCACAUCUGUAACUAGUUGUGACUGGUCUGUUUUUCUGUUUGCAUCACUUGUCUUUAACUCUGGCUCUGAAGUCAGGAUAACAUUUUCCUGUCCAGCAGAGAGAGAAGCUUUUCUCACUUGAAUGGGCUCUUCUGUGGACUCAUCCUGGUUUUAAAGGAGAUUAUAGAAGAAAAAAAAAGGGAGGUUUGUAACCAGAAACAUAAAAUAUUCACUUCAUGCAUAGUUACAUUUGAUAUCAAUAUUCAUAGGAACAUGCUGGUUUAAUUUGACAUAAUUUGCGCUUUCCCCUGUCCCCCUAUAAUUUGAAGAUAGUUGUAUACGAUGUACCCACUAUUCAUUUUCAAAAAAUAUUGCACAUAUUUAAAUAUGGCGAGAGGGAGAGAGGGAGAGAUAGAGAGAGAGUAUAGAAUAUAGAGAGUAUAGAAUAUAGAUUCUUAUUUUUGUUAAACGGUGAUAUACUUACAUUACAAAUGGUUGUAUCUGAGGCCGCUGAUUGGUGCUCUGUAAUGAUUUUGUUCUUUUCAGCCACUUCCUUGCCAUUCAAUGUGACGAUGUCCGGCAGAUCAAGCGGCCUUUGACCCAUUGCUGGCUGCAUUUGAUCUUGCUCCUGUUGGACCUCGACUUGCUGCCCUAAAGGUUUUGUCGCUUCUGCGAUCAAU